RNAcentral lists this ribosomal RNA (582 nucleotides) under Triticum aestivum (bread wheat). RNAcentral describes it as "partial small subunit ribosomal RNA". Lineage: Eukaryota; Viridiplantae; Streptophyta; Magnoliopsida; Poales; Poaceae. The record is from RNAcentral.
AUGGCGUCGACGGAGGAGCAAGUCUUCCUUGGAUCGAGGAACCUGUCGUAUCACAGCGCCCACUACCCCGACGCUAGCGCCGAUUGGGAUUACCCGGAAGACCCAGGCGAUCGGCGGGAGGGGGUGGAGGUUGCCGAGCUCCAUGACCAGCCGGCGCGCAUGAGCACAUCAUAUUCAGAUCCAUGUGAAGUCGCCAGGCGUGCCUUGGACCUCAUGUUCCCGCGGGAGGAGGACAGCGAUGACUGCUGGGGCACCUGGAGCGCACGGGAGGAGGGCACUGAUGACGACGAUGAACAAGGAGGGGAAGGAGUCGAUGACUGUAGCACACAGGAGGGCAGCGAUUAUGAAGACGACGACCGCAAUUGCCAAGUGAUACUAGCCGAGACAAACUGUCCAGGAAAGCUCUACCCCAAGAGUGAAGCAGAUGAGAUAGAUGACAAAUGGGUACAUAGGUACUCCCAACAGCUUAGUGAACACGAGAAGCUGUGCAGGGAGAUUAUGGCUCUGCGAGGUGAUGAUGAUGAUGAUGAGGAGGAGGAGGAGAAGGAUGAUGAUGCUCUCCUUGCCCCGUCUGUCCCAUGA